GAUGAAGAACGCAGCGAAAUGCGAUAAGUAAUGCGAAUUGCAGAAUUCAGUGAGUCAUCGAAUCUUUGAACGCACAUUGCGCCCUGUGGUAUUCCGCAGGGCAUGCCUGUUCGAGCGUCAUUUCAACCCUCAAGCUCUGCUUGGUGUUGGGCCCUGCCCGCUGCGGCCGGCCCUAAAGACAGUGGCGGUGCCGCCUGGCCCUGAGCGUAGUACAUCUCUCGCUCCAGUGCCCGGUGGUAGCCUGCCAGAACCCCAACUCUCGUGGUUGACCUCGGAUCAGGUAGGGAUACCCGCUGAACUUAAGCAUAUCAAUAAGCGGAGGA
Molecule: unclassified non-coding RNA, 323 nt
Filed under: soil metagenome
Description: partial contains 5.8S ribosomal RNA, internal transcribed spacer 2, and large subunit ribosomal RNA
Rfam family: 5.8S ribosomal RNA (bases 1-120)
Source: RNAcentral